RNAcentral lists this unclassified non-coding RNA (814 nucleotides) under Hevea brasiliensis (rubber tree). The record is from RNAcentral. Lineage: Eukaryota; Viridiplantae; Streptophyta; Magnoliopsida; Malpighiales; Euphorbiaceae.
CCUCAUCUGGCAAAUUACGCAUCUGUUUCACAAACAAUAACAAGAAACAGUAAACACUAAAGACGUGGAUUGAAGAACAAUGGAAGACCUAAGGCAGAGUUUUUCAUCUUCGUUCGUUUCUGAAAUAUGCACAUGUACUGCAACACUUUUUCCGAGCAGCGUUGAUAAAUUAGUCCAAGUAGGUUCUGGCAUAUAUCUUUUAAUAGGAGGAAAGUCUAAACUCUAAACUAUCAUAUCGUAAUGAUGAAAAGGCUGGAAAAGUAGAGAACAUAUUGCAAAGAAAAACUCUCCCCUUGUUUCUUUCCAAAAUUACACAAUAUCGAUGUUUCUCCACAUGCAUUGACAAAAUAGCCAUGCAUGAAAUAGGCCUCACAUAAUCUAACCAGUCCUGGGUAGGUCAAACAAUCUUUGACAAUGCUUUUCAACAGAUCCAGCUUCAACUAUACGGAUGGCAUCCAAAACUAAAGUAGCUUCCCUUGCUUUAAAUCAUUAAAAUCUUGCAUCUAUUAGAAAAAUAGUACUGAAAUUUGGUUAAGGAACAAAAACCACGCAGAGUGCUAAGGUUAAAAAUUUUUACUGUUUCAAGCUCAGUAAGGUUAAUUUCCUCCAAUAAUUCACAUUCCUAAAUUCUAAUAAGAAAAAUAAGAGAUGCAAAUAUGAUUCUGAAUUGACCUAGAGAUGAGGAAAAAAUGAAAUGAAAUAUAUCACCACACACAUAAAGAUACAAGUAAAGCAAAUGCAAAUGACUGGAACUGCAAUUUUCAAUAAAAAUUUUAUGCCAAAAUUUUACCUCUCCCCAGAUUUUUUUCUCAAG